GGCCUCGUGGCGAAAUGGAUAUCGUAUCAGACUUCGGAUCUGGGGACUGCGGGUUCGAGUCCCGUCGAGGUCG
This is a non-coding RNA of Absidia glauca, 73 nucleotides long. Lineage: Eukaryota; Fungi; Mucoromycota; Mucoromycetes; Mucorales; Cunninghamellaceae. The record is from Rfam.